CGACUUGAAGAUCUGGUGAGCAUCGUCGUUCCGGCACGAUUUCCGGCCAGCGCAGGUCACUUCGCCGGCUGGGAAGGGUCGGGGAAGGAAGAGGACGUCUUCCUGGUCGUUUUGGUACCGGCCUAGCCCACAGUCGUGGUCGGUGGUCGGAGUUACAAGCUGAAGAAGGAGGAGGGGCGGAGAGGGAGGGAGGUCGGCGCGAGGAGAGAGAGAGCUGAGCAGGUUUUUAUAAAUCCAACUUCGAAAUAUUUACGGUUAUGCCACUAAGACUCUUUUAACCAUAACUCUCUCGCUACAACUCCGAUUCGGG
This 310-nucleotide long non-coding RNA is filed under the name Prunus persica (peach). RNAcentral's name for it is "long non-coding RNA (PPER_LNC007995)". Lineage: Eukaryota; Viridiplantae; Streptophyta; Magnoliopsida; Rosales; Rosaceae. The record is from RNAcentral.